RNAcentral lists this ribosomal RNA (254 nucleotides) under uncultured bacterium. RNAcentral's name for it is "partial 16S ribosomal RNA". It matches the Rfam family "Bacterial small subunit ribosomal RNA", at positions 524 to 776 of the family's 1533-position model. The record is from RNAcentral.
UACGGAGGGUGCAAGCGUUAUCCGGAUUUACUGGGUUUAAAGGGUGUGUAGGCGGGCCGUGUAAGUCAGAGGUGAAAUCCCGGAGCUCAACUCCGGAACUGCCCCUGAUACUACCGGUCUUGAAUACUGAUGAGGUGGGCGGAACGGGUCAUGUAGCGGUGAAAUGCUUAGAGAUGACCCGGAACACCGAUUGCGAAGGCAGCUCACUGGGCAGUUAUUGACGCUGAGGCACGAAAGCGUGGGGAUCAAACAGG